This 344-nucleotide unclassified non-coding RNA is filed under the name uncultured fungus. RNAcentral's name for it is "sequence contains ITS1". Lineage: Eukaryota; Fungi. The record is from RNAcentral.
AAUCCGAGAAUUUCACCUCCAACACCGUAAUACGAAUGCCCCCGUCCGUCCCUCUUAAUCAUUACCUCCAAUUCCGAAAACCAACAAAAUAGAACCGAGGUCCUAUUCCAUUAUUCCAUGCACCAUUAUUCAGGCAGACCGCCUGCUUUGAACACUCUAAUUUUUUCAAAGUAAACGUUCCAGCUUCCCGAGACACUCAAUCAAGAGCACCAAGGGCCAACCGGGUGGUAGGUCAGGACGAGCAGUAACCACCAAGGAGCGGACCGCAAGCCUGGACCUGAGAUCCAACUACGAGCUUUUUAACUGCAACAACUUUAAUAUACGCUAUUGGAGCUGGAAUUACC